CAAGUUUAUUAAUAUUUACAUGUAUUUCUGCAGAAAUUUAUCAAAAGCUAAAAAUAGUAAUGCCAUGUGAUGAACCUUAGUGACAACCAAAGACAUUAUGACCCUAAAAAUGGGUACAAAA
Molecule: small nucleolar RNA, 121 nt
Filed under: Microtus ochrogaster (prairie vole)
Lineage: Eukaryota; Metazoa; Chordata; Mammalia; Rodentia; Cricetidae
Description: Small nucleolar RNA SNORA33 (ENSMOCG00000004574.1)
Source: RNAcentral